AUUGAACGCUGGCGGCACGCCUAACAUAUGCAAGUUGAACGGCAGCACGGAUAGGGUAACCUAUUGGGUGGCGAGUAGCGAACGGGUGAGUAAUGCGUAGGAAUAUGUCUUAUAGACCGGGACAACUUGGGGAAACUCAAGCUAAUACCGCAUAACGCCUGCGGACAAAAGCUGGGGACAUGCGAAGGCCCGGCGCUUAGAGAUUAGCCUGCGUUCGGUUAGCUAGGUGGUGGGGUAAGGGCCUACCAAGGCGACGAUCGGUAGCGUGUCUGAGAGGAUGACCAUCCACAGUGAAACUGACACACGGUCCAGACUCCUACGGGAGUGAGCAGUUGGGAAUAUUGGACAAUGGGGGGAACCCUGAUCCAGCAAUGCCGCGUGUGUGAAGAAGGCCUGAGGGUUGUAAAGCACUUUCAGUAGGGAGGAGGAUUCUUAGGGUAAGAGCUAGAGUAUUGGACGUUACCUACAGAAGAAGCACCGGCUAACUCCGUGCCAGCAGCCGCCGUAA
Molecule: ribosomal RNA, 508 nt
Filed under: uncultured bacterium
Lineage: Bacteria
Description: partial 16S ribosomal RNA
Rfam family: Bacterial small subunit ribosomal RNA
Source: RNAcentral